This 301-nucleotide ribosomal RNA is filed under the name uncultured bacterium. RNAcentral describes it as "partial 16S ribosomal RNA". It matches the Rfam family "Bacterial small subunit ribosomal RNA", at positions 509 to 807 of the family's 1533-position model. The record is from RNAcentral.
CAGUCGCCGCGGUAAUACGAAGGGUGCAAGCGUUAAUCGGAAUUACUGGGCGUAAAGCGUACGUAGGCGGUGAGUUAAGUCUGCUGUGAAAUCCCCGGGCUCAACCUGGGAAUGGCAGUGGAUACUGGCUCGCUAGAGUGUGUCAGAGGAUGGUGGAAUUCCCGGUGUAGCGGUGAAAUGCGUAGAGAUCGGGAGGAACAUCAGUGGCGAAGGCGGCCAUCUGGGACAACACUGACGCUGAGGCACGAAAGCGUGGGGAGCAAACAGGAUUAGAUACCCCCGUAGUCCCUGUCUCUUAUAC